AGGACACGCUGGCGGCGUGCCUAACACAUGCAAGUCGAGCGGAGAUAAGCGGAUGGUAACUGAAGUUUGUCUUAGCGGCGACGGGUGAGUAACACGUGGGCAACCUGCCUUGGAGUGGGGGAUAACACCGGGAAAUCGGUGCUAAUACCGCAUAACAUACACAAGCUGCAUGGUAUGUGUAUCAAAGGAGUAAUCCGCUUUAAGAUGGGCCCGCGGCUGAUUAGCUAGUUGGUAAGGUAACGGCUUACCAAGGCGACGAUCAGUAGCCGACCUGAGAGGGUGACCGGCCACACUGGAACUGAGACACGGUCCAGACUCCUACGGGAGGCAGCAGUGGGGAAUAUUGCGCAAUGGGGGGAACCCUGACGCAGCAACGCCGCGUGGAGGAAGAAGGUCUUCGGAUUGUAAACUCCUGUCUUCUGGGAAGAUAAUGACGGUACCAGAGGAGGAAGCCACGGCUAACUCCGUG
This 469-nucleotide ribosomal RNA is filed under the name uncultured bacterium. Its description in RNAcentral is "bacterial SSU rRNA". It matches the Rfam family "Bacterial small subunit ribosomal RNA", at positions 33 to 507 of the family's 1533-position model. The record is from RNAcentral.